AUUGAACGCUGGCGGCAGGCCUAACGCAUGCAAGUCGAGCGGAUGAAGGGAGCUUGCUCCUGGAUUCAGCGGCGGACGGGUGAGUAAUGCCUAGGAAUCUGCCUGGUAGUGGGGGAUAACGUCCGGAAACGGGCGCUAAUACCGCAUACGUCCUGAGGGAGAAAGUGGGGGAUCUUCGGACCUCACGCUAUCCGAUGAGCCUAGGUCGGAUUAGCUAGUUGGUGGGGUAAAGGCCUACCAAGGCGACGAUCCGUAACUGGUCUGAGAGGAUGAUCAGUCACACUGGAACUGAGACACGGUCCAGACUCCUACGGGAGGCAGCAGUGGGGAAUAUUAGACAAUGGGCGAAAGCCUGAUCCAGCCAUGCCGCGUGUGUGAAGAAGGUCUUCGGAUUGUAAAGCACUUUAAGUUGGGAGGAAGGGCAGUAAGUUAAUACCUUGCUGUUUUGACGUUACCAACAGAAUAAGCACCGGCUAACUUCGUG
RNAcentral lists this ribosomal RNA (484 nucleotides) under uncultured bacterium. Its description in RNAcentral is "partial 16S ribosomal RNA". It matches the Rfam family "Bacterial small subunit ribosomal RNA", at positions 30 to 507 of the family's 1533-position model. The record is from RNAcentral.